CAUCAUUAGUACUAGUAUCUAAAAGACAAAAAUGUAAAAAAAAAAAAUACCACUUUUGUUUUGGUGGAUUGACUCGACCAACCCGCCCAUAAAAAAUACAAUUUCGGUUUGGGCAGGUUAACCCAACCAACCUGCCCAAAUUAUUGGACAGUUAAAAUUUUUUCUUAAUUAGGCAAGUUACGGAUCACUUUUGCUAACCCGAUUAUGACAUCCUAACACGACCAAUGCUCAGCCCUGUACGUUCUUCUCCCAUUCUCAGUGGCGGCGCUCUCUCUCCACCCUCCCACGCACGUCACAGCUCUCCUCCACCCACGGUCAGACGGUCCCACUCCCUCCCAUCGACUCUCCGGUCUUCACCCCACUGCGACGGCUCACUCGGCGGUUCCAUAAUCCCACGGCGUCGCUAUCCACCCCAUCGGCCACACACAUUACAGGCAGAAACCCUCUCUCGUCUUGACCUCUCUUUGAAUACAUACUCUAAUAAGGACUAUUUUGUUCUCUUGUGGGUGUUGAGGCCUAAGCAGGUUAUUUCCUAUUCUCUAUUUGAGACAUAUCACUAAGUUAAGAAGCUGUACAAAAGAGAAGGUGUUGGUAGCAUCAAUUAUAGAAGCUUAUACUGCCUCUUCAAAUUUCAACAUAGUAAUUCUAGAAGGAAGAUGAUUUCAGAUAAGAAGUUCUUCAUGAGAGAGAUUUUUGGUAAAGGCAAGGGCAAGCUUGAUCAGCCCUGAUUCGGAGAGCUCUGAAGGCAGAAUGUACAUGAUCAGCUGUUCAGCCACCACAGUUGAGGAGGAGACAGGAACAGGAGAACCAUAAAUGUCUGUUUUGCCCUUAGAGUGGCUAGUGGUUGUUUGUACUCUGGAAAUUUUGUAAACUAACUUUCAAACACCGUUUCUUUUGGGAUCCCUUGUACAAAAUUUUUAAUUAUAUGAAAUGUGUCUUUU
This is an RNA transcript of Humulus lupulus (European hop), 941 nucleotides long. RefSeq lists it as uncharacterized. Lineage: Eukaryota; Viridiplantae; Streptophyta; Magnoliopsida; Rosales; Cannabaceae. The transcript is spliced from 4 exons. The record is from RefSeq and is a predicted model, not a curated record.